GCCUGGUAGGCAAAUCCGCCGGGCUUAGAUGAGGGGUGAUAACGAGGAAGCUUGCUUCCGAAGUGAGUGAUACCCUGCUUCCAGGAAAAGCCACUAAGCUUCAGCUACACACGACCGUACCGCAAACCGACACGGGUGCGCGAGAUGAGUAUUCUAUGGCGCUUGAGAGAACUCGGGAGAAGGAACUCGGCAAAUUGACACCGUAACUUCGGAAGAAGGUGUGCCUUUAGUAGGUGAAGGGAUUUACUCCUGGAGCCCAAUGAGGUUGCAAAAAAUCGGUGGCUGCGACUGUUUAUUAAAAACACAGCACUCUGCAAACACGAAAGUGGACGUAUAGGGUGUGACGCCUGCCCGGUGCUGGAAGAUUAAAUGAUGGGGUGCAAGCUCUUGAUUGAAGUCCCAGUAAACGGCGGCCGUAACAAUAACGGUCCUAAGGUAGCGAAAUUCCUUGUCGGGUAAGUUCCGACCUGCACGAAUGGCGUAACGAUGGCCACACUGUCUCCUCCCGAGACUCAGCGAAGUUGAAAUGUUUGUGAUGAUGCAAUCUCCCCGCGGAAAGACGGAAAGACCCCAUGAACCUUUACUGUAGCUUUGUAUUGGACUUUGAACGGAUCUGUGUAGGAUAGGUGGGAGGCUUUGAAGCAGGGUCGCUAGAUCUUGUGGAGCCAACGUUGAAAUACCACCCUGGUGCGUUUGAGGUUCUAACCUAGGUCCAUUAUCUGGAUCGGGGACAGUGCAUGGUAGGCAGUUUGACUGGGGCGGUCUCCUCCCAAAGCGUAACGGAGGAGUUCGAAGGUACGCUAGUUACGGUCGGACAUCGUGACGAUAGUGCAAUGGCAUAAGCGUGCUUAACUGCGAGACUGACAAGUCGAGCAGAUGCGAAAGCAGGACAUAGUGAUCCGGUGGUUCUGUAUGGAAGGGCCAUCGCUCAACGGAUAAAAGGUACUCUGGGGAUAACAGGCUGAUACCGCCCAAGAGUUCAUAUCGACGGCGGUGUUUGGCACCUCGAUGUCGGCUCAUCUCAUCCUGGGGCUGUAGCCGGUCCCAAGGGUAUGGCUGUUCGCCAUUUAAAGAGGUACGUGAGCUGGGUUUAAAACGUCGUGAGACAGUUUGGUCCCUAUCUUCCGUGGGCGCUGCAGAUUUGAGGAAGCCUGCUCCUAGUACGAGAGGACCGGAGUGGACACACCUCUGGUGUAUCGGUUGUCACGCCAGUGGCAUUGCCGAGUAGCUAAGUGUGGAAGAGAUAACCGCUGAAAGCAUCUAAGCGGGAAACUCGUUUCAAGAUGAGAUCUGCCGGGGCCUUGAGCCCCCUGAAGAGUCGUUCUAGACCAGGACGUUGAUAGGUCAGGUGUGGAAGUG
RNAcentral lists this ribosomal RNA (1359 nucleotides) under metagenome. RNAcentral describes it as "bacterial LSU rRNA". It matches the Rfam family "Bacterial large subunit ribosomal RNA", at positions 1527 to 2875 of the family's 2925-position model. The record is from RNAcentral.